Molecule: ribosomal RNA, 501 nt
Filed under: uncultured bacterium
Lineage: Bacteria
Description: bacterial SSU rRNA
Rfam family: Bacterial small subunit ribosomal RNA
Source: RNAcentral
UAAGGAAUAUUGCACAAUGGGGGAAACCCUGAUGCAGCAACGCCGCGUGAAGGAAGAAGGUUUUCGGAUCGUAAACUUCUUUAGUCUGGGAAGAAAAAAAUGACGGUACCAGAAGAAUAAGCCCCGGCUAACUACGUGCCAGCAGCCGCGGUAAUACGUAGGGGGCGAGCGUUAUCCGGAAUUACUGGGUGUAAAGGGUGAGUAGGCGGUUUUUUAAGUCAUGUGUGAAAGCCUGAGGCUUAACCUCAGCGAGCACAAGAAACUGGAGAACUAGAGUAUGGGAGAGGUAAGUGGAAUUCCUAGUGUAGCGGUGAAAUGCGUAGAUAUUAGGAGGAACACCAGUGGCGAAGGCGACUUACUGGACCAAAACUGACGCUGAGUCACGAAAGCGUGGGGAGCAAACAGGAUUAGAUACCCUGGUAGUCCACGCUGUAAACGAUGAAUACUAGGUGUCGGGGUGAGAGCCUCGGUGCCGUAGCUAACGCAAUAAGUAUUCCACCU